AGCAGCCGCGGUAAUUCCAGCUCCAAUAGCGUAUAUUAAAGUUGUUGCAGUUAAAAGCUCGUAGUUGAAUUUCGGGGUCAGCAGGUCGGUCGUGCCACUGGUAUGUACUGGCUUUGCUGAUUCCUCCCUCUUGACGAACCGUAAUGCCAUUAAUUUGGUGUUGCGGGAAAUCAGGACUGUUACUUUGAAAAAUUGAGUGUUUAAAGCAGGCUUACGCUUGAAUACAUUAGCAUGGAAUAAUGAAAUAGGACGUUCGACCCUAUUUUGUUGGUUUCUAGGAUUGACGUAAUGAUUAAUAGGGAUAGUUGGGGGCAUUAGUAUUCAAUUGUCAGAGGUGAAAUUCUUGGAUUUAUUGAAGACUAACUACUGCGAAAGCAUUUGCCAAGGAUGUU
Molecule: ribosomal RNA, 392 nt
Filed under: uncultured Glomeromycotina
Lineage: Eukaryota; Fungi; Glomeromycota
Description: SSU rRNA
Rfam family: Eukaryotic small subunit ribosomal RNA
Source: RNAcentral